RNAcentral lists this ribosomal RNA (465 nucleotides) under Vreelandella stevensii. Its description in RNAcentral is "partial 16S ribosomal RNA". It matches the Rfam family "Bacterial small subunit ribosomal RNA", at positions 338 to 795 of the family's 1533-position model. The record is from RNAcentral. Lineage: Bacteria; Pseudomonadati; Pseudomonadota; Gammaproteobacteria; Oceanospirillales; Halomonadaceae.
CCUACGGGUGGCAGCAGUGGGGAAUAUUGGACAAUGGGGGGAACCCUGAUCCAGCCAUGCCGCGUGUGUGAAGAAGGCCCUCGGGUUGUAAAGCACUUUCAGUGAGGAAGAACGCCUGGUGGUUAAUACCCAUCAGGAAAGACAUCACUCACAGAAGAAGCACCGGCUAACUCCGUGCCAGCAGCCGCGGUAAUACGGAGGGUGCGAGCGGUAAUCGGAAUUACUGGGCGUAAAGCGCGCGUAGGUGGCUUGAUAAGCCGGUUGUGAAAGCCCCGGGCUCAACCUGGGAACGGCAUCCGGAACUGUCAAGCUAGAGUGCAGGAGAGGAAGGUAGAAUUCCCGGUGUAGCGGUGAAAUGCGUAGAGAUCGGGAGGAAUACCAGUGGCGAAGGCGGCCUUCUGGACUGACACUGACACUGAGGUGCGAAAGCGUGGGUAGCAAACAGGAUUAGAUACCCCUGUAGUC